Molecule: unclassified non-coding RNA, 405 nt
Filed under: soil metagenome
Description: partial contains 5.8S ribosomal RNA, internal transcribed spacer 2, and large subunit ribosomal RNA
Rfam family: 5.8S ribosomal RNA (bases 1-121)
Source: RNAcentral
GAUGAAGAACGUAGCGAAAUGCGAUAAGUAAUGUGAAUUGCAGAAUUCAGUGAAUCAUCGAAUCUUUGAACGCACCUUGCGCCCUUUGGCUAUUCCAGAGGGCAUGCCUGUUUGAGUAUCAUGAACACCUCAACUCUCAUGGUUCUGCCAUGAUGAGCUUGGACUUUGGAGGUCUUGCUGGCCCCUGUGGUCAGCUCCUCUCAAAUGGAUCAGCUUGCCAGUGUUUGGUGGCAUCACAGGUGUGAUAACUAUCUACGCUUGUGGUUUUCCACCAGGUAACCUUCAGUGAUGGAGGUUCGCUGGAGCUCAUAAACGUCUCUCCUCAGCGAGGACAGCUUCUUGAACGUUUGAUCUCAAAUCAGGUAGGGCUACCCGCUGAACUUAAGCAUAUCAAUAAGCGGAGGA